Molecule: ribosomal RNA, 479 nt
Filed under: uncultured bacterium
Lineage: Bacteria
Description: partial 16S ribosomal RNA
Rfam family: Bacterial small subunit ribosomal RNA
Source: RNAcentral
GAUGAACGCUAGCGGGAGGCCUAACACAUGCAAGCCGAGCGGUAUUUGUUCUUCGGAACAGAGAGAGCGGCGCACGGGUGCGGAACACGUGUGCAACCUGCCUUUAUCUGGGGGAUAGCCUUUCGAAAGGAAGAUUAAUACCCCAUAAUAUAUUGAGUGGCAUCAUUUGAUAUUGAAAACUCCGGUGGAUAGAGAUGGGCACGCGCAAGAUUAGAUAGUUGGUGAGGUAACGGCUCACCAAGUCAAUGAUCUUUAGGGGGCCUGAGAGGGUGAUCCCCCACACUGGUACUGAGACACGGACCAGACUCCUACGGGAGGCAGCAGUGAGGAAUAUUGGACAAUGGGUUAGCGCCUGAUCCAGCCAUCCCGCGUGAAGGACGACGGCCCUAUGGGUCGUAAACUUCUUUUGUAUAGGGAUAAACCUACUCUCGUGAGAGUAGCUGAAGGUACUAUACGAAUAAGCACCGGCUAACUCCGUG